UUACAUUAUCAUAGGCAGAAUUUAUAUCUAAAAAGGCUGAGAGGAUUGACAAAUUUUGUGAGAAAGCUAUAUGAAUAUCUGAAAUAAGAAUGCUCACAUUAUCUAAGGUGCUCUUACCUUUCCUAAAACCAAACUGGUUCGGGGAUAGUAAGUUAUUACUUUCUAAAAACCAUUCUAGACGGUUUUUCACUAAAUGUUCAGCUAGCUUUAGUAAGACAGAGGAAAGUGCAACAGGACGGUAUGAAGAUGGUUCAGAAGGUGGUUUAUGAGGCUUUAGAAAUGGUAUAAUAAUCUGAGACUUCCAUGAAGUAGGUAUAUUUCCCGAAAUAAUUAUGGAAUUAAUUAUAUUUAAAAAGUAAAUUAAUGUCGCAUCGCUAGCAUUUUUAAAAAAGGAAUACGGUAUACCGUCUUCUCCCGGUGCAGAGUCUUUAAUAGAAGCUAGAACACCUUUAAGUUCUACUAGAGUAAAAGGAGAGUCAAGUUCGAAUAAUUCGUCAGAGACGGAUAGAGAAAUAUUGUAAAGGCAUUCCGGCACAUAACUAGGAGCAAGACGAUCUAAAAAUUUAUUCGCUAAAGUUAAAUCGAGUGCAGAACGUGAUGUAUGAUCACUAAAGGCAGAUCUGAAUCUUUUAAUAUUAUUCCAAACGACUGAUGAAUUAACUUCUGGACAGAUAGAAGAACAAAAUCUUCUCCAGCCUUCUAAUUUCUUUUUUUUCAGUAGUUUUCGAGUAGAACGUGAAACUGCGGUGUAAAUUUCAAAAUUUUCUGGUGUCAUGUAAUUAUUAUAAUUUUUUUCAGCCUCUUUACGAUUUUUAAUUGCUUCCGUACAAUCUUUGUCCCACCAAGGUGGCGAGGGAAUUUUCCCUGAAGCACUAUUUUUAACAGGAAAUAAUAAAUCAGCAACCUCCUUCAUAUUUAUCAUCAAGUCAUUACAACAUUGAUGUUCAUUUCCAUGGUAAACAAUAGGUAACUCCGAUAUUUUAUUAUCUAAAUAUUGUUUGUAAAUAUUCCAGUCUACAUUUGAUAAAUUAUAUUUAAGCCGAGGACCACUCUUUCGACUUGAGGGAAUGGAAAUUGGAAAAGAAAGAAUGAGGGGAAAGUGAUCGCUUCCGAAAGUAGAGGAAUGAGGAUACCACGACAGUGAAGAAGCUAAAUCAGAAGAACAUAUUGAAAUGUCAGGAGCACUAAACCCUUCAUUCGGUGCAGUUCUACGUGUUGGUACAUCUGAGUUAAUAAUACAUAAGUUGUAAGUGUCAAUUAUCGUCAGGAGUUUUCCACCAUAAAAAUUAGAAGUAGAACUGCCCCACGAUUGGUGUUGAGCAUUAAAAUCGCCCAUUACGAGAAAAGGUUUAGGUAAAAUUGAAAAUAAUUGUUCUAGUUGUGAAUAUAUUUGGCAUGUAGGAUCAGGAAUAUAUAAAGUAACAAAACAGAUACCAUUUAUAAUUAUAGCAGCUGCAUUAAUGCCGCUAUAUACAGGAAGCGAAAAAGAAGAAAAAGGAAGGGAGUUUUUGACCAAUAUGGCAACACCGCCAUAUCCGUCAGCUCUAUCAUCUCGGAGACUUGUAAAGCCUGAAAUCCUAAAAGGAUAUCCUGGCUUUAACCAAGUCUCUUGGAGAGCUAUUAUAAAAGGAUUAUAUUUAUUAAUCAAAUAAAAUAAGUCUGAUUUCUUGUUUGUUAUGCUACGACAGUUCCACUGAAUUAUUAGGACUUUGUAAUCCAUUGUGAGAAGUUAAUAAUUGAGAAAAUACAUUGUAAAUGGCAUCGUUGGACGGUGGAAAGAAGAUUGAAAAUGAGAUUUAUUGGACGGAGAUGAUGAUGUUAAUACAUCUGAAUAUAGUUUAGAAGUGGGAGGAUGAAAUUUUGAUGCUUCAGCAUAAGAAACACAACUGUGGGCCAUUGUUUCUUUAAUGGCUUUCUGACGUGCAUAUUCAGGACAUUUCUUACUAAUUGCUGAAUGAGAACUAUUACACAAGAUACAAGAAACAUUUUCCUCAUCUACUUCACAUUUAUCACCUGUAUGAUUUUGCCUGCAUUUAUAACACCGAGGAUUUGAACGACACUGCAUCUUGACAUGUCCGAACCUACAGCAGUUAUAGCAUUGGAUAGUGGGGUAAAUGUACAAAUCUACAGUUAAUGAUGUGUAAAACAUAAAUACUCUUUUUGGUAAUAUUUGUCCAUCAAAAGUAAUAACAAUGGUUUCAGUAUUAAUAAAACUUGGUUGUCCUUCAUUAA
Molecule: long non-coding RNA, 2232 nt
Organism: Galleria mellonella (greater wax moth)
Lineage: Eukaryota; Metazoa; Arthropoda; Insecta; Lepidoptera; Pyralidae
Exons: 2
Source: RefSeq, a predicted model, not a curated record